RNAcentral lists this ribosomal RNA (433 nucleotides) under uncultured bacterium. RNAcentral's name for it is "partial 16S ribosomal RNA". It matches the Rfam family "Bacterial small subunit ribosomal RNA", at positions 29 to 507 of the family's 1533-position model. The record is from RNAcentral.
AACGAACGCUGGCGGCAUGCCUAACACAUGCAAGUCGAACGAGACCUUCGGGUCUAGUGGCGCACGGGGGCGUAACGCGUGGGAACCUGCCCUUAGGUUCGGAAUAACUCCCCGAAAGGGGUGCUAAUACCGGAUAAUGUCUUCGGACCAAAGAUUUAUCGCCUUUGGAUGGGCCCGCGUUGGUUUAGCUAGUUGGUAGGGUAAAAGCCUACCAAGGCGACGAUCCAUAGCUGGUCUGAGAGGAUGAUCAGCCACACUGGGACUGAGACACGGCCCAGACUCCUACGGGAGGCAGCAGUGGGGAAUAUUGGACAAUGGGCGAAAGCCUGAUCCAGCAAUGCCGCGUGAGUGAUGAAGGCCUUAGGGUUGUAAAGCUCUUUUACCCGGGAUGAUAAUGACGGUACCGGGAGAAUAAGCACCGGCUAACUCCGUG